Molecule: ribosomal RNA, 536 nt
Filed under: uncultured bacterium
Lineage: Bacteria
Description: bacterial SSU rRNA
Rfam family: Bacterial small subunit ribosomal RNA
Source: RNAcentral
AGAGUUUGAUCAUGGCUCAGAGCGAACGUUAGCGGCGGGCCUAACACAUGCAAGUCGAGCGAGAAAGUGGCUUCGGCCACGAGUAAAGCGGCGGACGGGUGAGUAACACGUAGGUAAUCUUCCCUUGAGCGGGGGACAACGGUCCGAAAGGACCGCUAAUACCGCAUACGUUUCCAGGGACCCUGGUCCUUGGAAGGAAAGCUAGGCAGCAAUGUCUGGCACUCGAGGAGGAGCCUGCGUCGCAUCAGCUAGUUGGUGGGGUAACGGCCUACCAAGGCGAAGACGCGUAGCUGGUCUGAGAGGAUGAUCAGCCACACUGAAACUGAGACACGGUUCAGACUCCUACGGGAGGCAGCAGUGGGGAAUAUUGGACAAUGGGCGCAAGCCUGAUCCAGCCACGCCGCGUGAGUGAUGAAGGCCUUCGGGUCGUAAAGCUCUGUGGGGAGGGACGAACCGCUGCACGUUCAUAGCGUGCAGCAUGACGGUACCUCCUUAGCAAGCACCGGCUAACUUCGUGCCAGCCGCCGCGGUAAUAC